RNAcentral lists this ribosomal RNA (429 nucleotides) under Actinomycetes bacterium. RNAcentral's name for it is "Actinobacteria bacterium partial 16S ribosomal RNA". It matches the Rfam family "Bacterial small subunit ribosomal RNA", at positions 355 to 776 of the family's 1533-position model. Lineage: Bacteria; Bacillati; Actinomycetota; Actinomycetes. The record is from RNAcentral.
UAGGGAAUCUUCCGCAAUGGGCGAAAGCUUGACGGAGCAACGCCGCGUGAGUGAUGAAGGUCUUCGGAUCGUAAAACUCUGUUAUUAGGGAAGAACAAAUGUGUAAGUAACUAUGCACGUCUUGACGGUACCUAAUCAGAAAGCCACGGCUAACUACGUGCCAGCAGCCGCGGUAAUACGUAGGUGGCAAGCGUUAUCCGGAAUUAUUGGGCGUAAAGCGCGCGUAGGCGGUUUUUUAAGUCUGAUGUGAAAGCCCACGGCUCAACCGUGGAGGGUCAUUGGAAACUGGAAAACUUGAGUGCAGAAGAGGAAAGUGGAAUUCCAUGUGUAGCGGUGAAAUGCGCUGAGAUAUGGAGGAACACCAGUGGCGAAGGCGACUUUCUGGUCUGUAACUGACGCUGAUGUGCGAAAGCGUGGGGAUCAAACAGG